RNAcentral lists this ribosomal RNA (192 nucleotides) under Triticum aestivum (bread wheat). RNAcentral's name for it is "partial small subunit ribosomal RNA". Lineage: Eukaryota; Viridiplantae; Streptophyta; Magnoliopsida; Poales; Poaceae. The record is from RNAcentral.
AUGGUGGGCUUGCUACAUUGGGACUUUGCACCGGGCAUUGCCCUUGCAGACCAGGUGAGAAGAAGGUUUGGAUCCACAGUUCAUUUCUCACCAUCUAGAGAUGCCAAGGAGUUCUUUUUGGUGGUCUCUUUCUCUUCGGCCUCCUUCCCACUCUCUGUGGAUUCUGUUGGAAUUGCUCUACAAUGUUGUAUU